RNAcentral lists this ribosomal RNA (500 nucleotides) under uncultured bacterium. RNAcentral describes it as "partial 16S ribosomal RNA". It matches the Rfam family "Bacterial small subunit ribosomal RNA", at positions 30 to 523 of the family's 1533-position model. The record is from RNAcentral.
AUUGAACGCUGGCGGAAUGCUUUACACAUGCAAGUCGAACGGCAGCACGGACUUCGGUCUGGUGGCGAGUGGCGAACGGGUGAGUAAUGUAUCGGAACGUGCCCAGUCGUGAGGGAUAACGUAGUGAAAAUUACGCUAAUACCGCAUACGAUCUAUGGAUGAAAGCGGGGGAUCGCAAGACCUCGCGCGAUUGGAGCGGCCGAUAUCAGAUUAGGUAGUUGGUGGGGUAAAGGCCCACCAAGCCAACGAUCUGUAGCUGGUCUGAGAGGACGACCAGCCACACUGGCACUGAGACACGGUCCAGACUCCUACGGGAGGCAGCAGUGGGGAAUUUUGGACAAUGGGCGAAAGCCUGAUCCAGCCAUUCCGCGUGCAGGAUGAAGGCCCUCGGGUUGUAAACUGCUUUUGUACAGAACGAAAAGGUUUCUACUAAUACUAGGAGCUCAUGACGGUACUGUAAGAAUAAGCACCGGCUAACUACGUGCCAGCCGCCGCAGUAA